CAGGCACCUGCUCUGUGGAUGAGAGGUGUGGCCUGGUGAUGUUGCCAGAGAGGGCAUAUCUGUUUCCUGGGGGUGGAAUAAAAUGAAUUCUCCCAGGUCUUACACCUGCUAUAAGAUGCUUCUGGUCAAUGGGUAUUUGGAAUACUGCCACGUUAGUUAGCGGGGAGGCAUCUGGGAUCUUUGAUUCUGUGCCACAAAGCAGUUCCCUUUACUAUGUCAGAACCCCCCUUACCUUUUGAGCUCACCCGGCCCUGCCACCUGGUAUUCCAUAACCUUCUCUCAAAGGCAACAGAAAGACCACAAGAUACUGUAGACAAUCCAUUGGUGUGAUUAAAUAUUUUGGAGAUCUCUUGGCAUUUGCUUCCUGGCAACUGUGGGGUAACGUUCUCUACACCAAAUGUCUCAAACUCAACUGUCUACAAGAGCCAAGUAAGUGCCCUAAUGAAUGAAGUCGGCCAGGCAGGAACUGAGAAUUACAGAAGGGAGGCGUCCACCAUCACCCUUGCUUGGAAUGCAGAGAAAAGAAGGAACAGAAGUCGAAGGAAGGAAGACACAGAUAAGAGCAGCAAAAUAAGAGAAGAAAAAGAAGCAGUAGAGAAUCAAAAGAGCCAAAAAUGGUUUCUUUGAAAAGACUAAUAAAAUCGACACAUUUGUUAGCAACACUAAUCAAAGGAGGAAGAAAGAGAACGCAAUGUAAAGCUAAGAUGAAAAGGGAGUACAUUUCUGAUUUGAACAUGGCGAAUUAAAGACAGGAUUUCCCUCUUUUCUUUAUAGGAAACAAUCAUAACAAGAAUAAGAAGCAAGCCGGGUGCGGUGGCUCAUGCCUGUAAUUCCAGCACUUUGGGAGGCCGAGCUGGGAGGAUCACUUGAGCCCAGGAGUUUGAGACCAACCUGGGUAACAUAAUGAGACCUUACAAAAAAAAAUAAAAUUAAAUUUCAAAAACAUAAUUAGAUACCAGUGUAUCCCCAGCAGAUUGACACAAAUUAAAAGUCAACAGUAUCCUGUGUUGGUGAAGACAUACAGCAACUGGAAGUCUCCUGUGCAUGUUAGCCAUGUUUAUACCUUUCAUCUCAGCAGUUUCACUCUUAACGAUAUAUGCUAGAGAAACUCUUACUCAUGUGCUCCACAGACAGGUAGGAGGGCCCAAGGUAACCUUGUUUGUAAUUAAGAAAAAAUAAAAACAGGAAACAAGCCAAGUGUCCAAUGGGAUAAUGGAUUAGUAAAUUGUGAUACACAAUGAAACUGCAUAUGUGCGCACAUCAACAUGAACGAACCCUCCAAACAUAAUGUUGAGGAAAAAACAAGCAAAUCACAGAAUACAAAAAAUAUAUAAUACCUU
This 1340-nucleotide long non-coding RNA is filed under the name Homo sapiens (human). RNAcentral describes it as "non-protein coding lnc-FAM153C-1:15". Lineage: Eukaryota; Metazoa; Chordata; Mammalia; Primates; Hominidae. The record is from RNAcentral.